CCUAGGGGCGGCUGCAGUGGGGAAUAUUGGACAAUGGGCGAAAGCCUGAUCCAGCCAUGCCGCGUGUGUGAAGAAGGCCUUCGGGUUGUAAAGCACUUUCAGUGGGGAAGAAAGCCUUGGGGCUAAUACCCUCGAGGAAGGACAUCACCCACAGAAGAAGCACCGGCUAACUCCGUGCCAGCAGCCGCGGUAAUACGGAGGGUGCGAGCGUUAAUCGGAAUUACUGGGCGUAAAGCGCGCGUAGGCGGUCUGAUAAGCCGGUUGUGAAAGCCCCGGGCUCAACCUGGGAACGGCAUCCGGAACUGUCAGGCUAGAGUGCAGGAGAGGAAGGUAGAAUUCCCGGUGUAGCGGUGAAAUGCGUAGAGAUCGGGAGGAAUACCAGUGGCGAAGGCGGCCUUCUGGACUGACACUGACGCUGAGGUGCGAAAGCGUGGGUAGCAAACAGGAUUAGAUACCCCUGUAGUC
RNAcentral lists this ribosomal RNA (465 nucleotides) under Vreelandella stevensii. Its description in RNAcentral is "partial 16S ribosomal RNA". It matches the Rfam family "Bacterial small subunit ribosomal RNA", at positions 338 to 795 of the family's 1533-position model. The record is from RNAcentral. Lineage: Bacteria; Pseudomonadati; Pseudomonadota; Gammaproteobacteria; Oceanospirillales; Halomonadaceae.